RNAcentral lists this ribosomal RNA (253 nucleotides) under uncultured bacterium. Its description in RNAcentral is "partial 16S ribosomal RNA". It matches the Rfam family "Bacterial small subunit ribosomal RNA", at positions 524 to 776 of the family's 1533-position model. The record is from RNAcentral.
GACGGACCGUGCAAACGUUAUUCGGAAUCACUGGGCAUAAAGGGCGCGUAGGCGGCUCCAAAAGUCAGGGGUGAAAUCCGGCAGCUCAACUGUCGCAGUGCCUUUGAUACUGUGGAGCUAGAGGGAGGUAGGGGUCUGUGGAACUUCCGGUGGAGCGGUGAAAUGCGUUGAUAUCGGAAGGAACGCCGGUGGCGAAAGCGACGGACUGGAUCUCUUCUGACGCUGAGGCGCGAAAGCCAGGGGAGCAAACGGG